AAGACUAUACUUUCAGAGAUUAUUUCUAUAGUUCAUUAGUAGAGAAGUUUCUCUGAUUAUGUAGAGUACCAGAAACCAUGAGGAAGAGGCACAGGUUCUCUCCUGAGUUGUGAAGACAGCUCUUAGUGUUGCUUCACUGAAACUGCUACUUGCUAUUGAGGAUCAUUCUUACUCUUUCAGAAAAGUAAGAAGGAGAGAGCACAGUCUGAGUGGU
RNAcentral lists this small nucleolar RNA (214 nucleotides) under Castor canadensis (American beaver). RNAcentral's name for it is "Small nucleolar RNA U3 (ENSCCNG00000025971.1)". It matches the Rfam family "Small nucleolar RNA U3". Rfam says of the family: Small nucleolar RNAs (snoRNAs) are involved in the processing and modification of rRNA in the nucleolus. There are two main classes of snoRNAs: the box C/D class, and the box H/ACA class. The record is from Rfam by way of RNAcentral. Lineage: Eukaryota; Metazoa; Chordata; Mammalia; Rodentia; Castoridae.